GCUGGACUUGGUGGCACAGAUCAGUAAUCUUUGCAUCUGGGAGACUGAGGUUGCUGGACUGCUUGAGGUGGGGGUUGCAGUCCUUGUGUGCGCUAUGGCGAAUGGGAGUCCUGGUGACGAUCAGCAUCAACAUGAUGCUUCUUGGGAGGCUCGGCACACCAGGUCAUCUAGGGAGGGGUGAACCAACCCAGGCUGGUGACAGAGCAGGUGAACGCCCCUGUGGUUUUGCACCUGUGAGUAGCAGCUACGGUGCUGCCAAGACAACACAGCAGGACGCGGCCUUUU
Scleropages formosus (Asian bonytongue) is the source of this 285-nucleotide unclassified non-coding RNA. It matches the Rfam family "Metazoan signal recognition particle RNA". Rfam says of the family: The signal recognition particle (SRP) is a universally conserved ribonucleoprotein. Lineage: Eukaryota; Metazoa; Chordata; Actinopteri; Osteoglossiformes; Osteoglossidae. The record is from Ensembl.